This 147-nucleotide ribosomal RNA is filed under the name uncultured eukaryote. RNAcentral's name for it is "partial small subunit ribosomal RNA". It matches the Rfam family "Eukaryotic small subunit ribosomal RNA", at positions 1297 to 1460 of the family's 1831-position model. The record is from RNAcentral.
GUUGGUGGAGUGAUUUGUCUGGUUAAUUCCGUUAACGAACGAGACCUCGACCUGCUAAAUAGUUCGUUCAACAGCUUGUUCUGUUGUUCGGGACUUCUUAGAGGGACUAUGGGUGUGUAGCCCAUGGAAGUUCGAGGCAAUAACAGG